RNAcentral lists this ribosomal RNA (210 nucleotides) under uncultured prokaryote. RNAcentral describes it as "partial 16S ribosomal RNA". It matches the Rfam family "Bacterial small subunit ribosomal RNA", at positions 524 to 766 of the family's 1533-position model. The record is from RNAcentral.
UACGUAGAAGACUAGUGUUAUUCAUCUUUAGUAGGUUUAAAGGGUACGUAGACGGUAAAUUUAAUCUUUUAGAUAUGUUUAUACUAGAGUUAUAUAUGAGGAGGGGAGUAUUUAUGGAGUAGAGUUGAAAUUUGUUGAUACCAUAACGACUGGUAACGGCGAAAGCAACCUUUUAUGUAAUAACUGACGUUGAGGGACGAAGGCUCGGGU